Molecule: ribosomal RNA, 495 nt
Filed under: uncultured bacterium
Lineage: Bacteria
Description: partial 16S ribosomal RNA
Rfam family: Bacterial small subunit ribosomal RNA
Source: RNAcentral
UGAACGCUGGCGGCGUGCCUAAUACAUGCAAGUCGAGCGAACGGACGAGAAGCUUGCUUCUCUGAUGUUAGCGGCGGACGGGUGAGUAACACGUGGAAAACCUACCUAUAAGAUUGGGAUAACUUCGGGAAACCGGAGCUAAUACCGGAUAAUAUUUUGAACCGCAUGGUUCAAAAGUGAAAGACGGUCUUGCUGUCACUUAUAGAUGGAUCCGCGCUGCAUUAGCUAGUUGGUAAGGUAACGGCUUACCAAGGCAACGAUGCAUAGCCGACCUGAGAGGGUGAUCGGCCACACUGGAACUGAGACACGGUCCAGACUCCUACGGGAGGCAGCAGUAGGGAAUCUUCCGCAAUGGGCGAAAGCCUGACGGAGCAACGCCGCGUGAGUGAUGAAGGUCUUCGGAUCGUAAAACUCUGUUAUUAGGGAAGAACAUAUGUGUAAGUAACUGUGCACAUCUUGACGGUACCUAAUCAGAAAGCCACGGCUAACUACGUG